AGAGUUUGAUCCUGGCUCAGGACGAACGCUGGCGGCGUGGAUUAGGCAUGCAAGUCGAACGGUAUAAACCUUUCGGGGUUUAGAGAGUGGCGAACGGGUGAGUAACACGUAGGUAAUCUACCCUCAAAACGGGGACAACCCAGGGAAACUUGGGCUAAUACCGGAUGCGUGCAAGCAAUGUUUUGGCUGUUAAUGCUAUUCGCGGAAGUGAGUAGUGUUAAUGGUUGAGAGCAUUAUUUGCAUAAAAGGUGGCAUAUGCUGCCGUUUGAGGAUGAGCCUGCGUCCUAUUAGUUAGUUGGUGAGGUAAUGGCUUACCAAGGCGAUGAUAGGUAGGCGGCCUUAACGGGUGGUCGCCCACACUGGGAUUGAGAGACGGCCCAGACUCCUACGGGAGGCAGCAGUCGAGAAUAGUCUACAAUGGACGGAAGUCUGAUAGUGCGACGCCGCGUGAACGAAGAAUCCCUUCGGGGUGUAAAGUUCUUUUAUACGUGAGCAGUGCCCUUUAUAUGAAUAGUAUAGAGGGAGGGAUUUAAGCGUAUGAAUAAGCAACGGCUAACUCCGUGCCAGCAGCCGCGGUAACACGGGGGUUGCAAGCGUUGUCCGGAAUUACUAGGCGUAAAGUGCAGGUAGGCGGAUAGAUAAGUUUAAGGUUAAAGGCUACGGCUUACCCGUAGUAAGGCGUUAGAUACUGUUUAUCUGGAAUGCGGUUGAGGGAGACAGAAUUCCUGGUGUAGCGGUGGAAUGCGCAGAGAUCAGGAGGAAUACCGAAGGCGAAGGCAGUCUUCUAAGCCGAUAUUGACGCUAAACUGCGAAGGUGUGGGGAUCAAACAGGAUUAGAUACCCCGGUAGU
RNAcentral lists this ribosomal RNA (850 nucleotides) under uncultured bacterium. Its description in RNAcentral is "bacterial SSU rRNA". It matches the Rfam family "Bacterial small subunit ribosomal RNA", at positions 8 to 794 of the family's 1533-position model. The record is from RNAcentral.